Molecule: long non-coding RNA, 693 nt
Organism: Danio aesculapii
Lineage: Eukaryota; Metazoa; Chordata; Actinopteri; Cypriniformes; Danionidae
Exons: 3
Source: RefSeq, a predicted model, not a curated record
GCGCGCAGGUGUGUGCGGGUAUACCUGCAUAUACACUAAGACCACCAUACAUGUACUUUAAAUAUAGAUAUGUUCGGGUAGAUGCUGUUAGAAGACUCCUUUAAGUAAACUGGUGGUAUUUUCUUCCUCAAAAAUCACCAUCAUCCUCCUCUCCAGGUGAAGAUGAAACAGGAACCACGCACAGAUGAAGAUGAACCAGGAAACACGCACAGUCAUCAUCAUCAUCACCUUCAGCCCUACGGAUAAAAGGACACUCAAUGACAACUCUAAUACACUCCCAAUCGAUCCGGUUUGAAACCUCCACUCAUGUUUUCUGCAUAUCCGUGUUGUUUUCCCUCUGAUACCCGGAGAUCUCGCUGCCCUGUCCGGAUCCGGGUGACAGGAAAAGUCGGUUGAAGAACUACGGAUGAUGUUGCUGAAUUGGCGGCAGCGUCAGGCGAGAUCUUCCGGGCUUUUGGAAGAAGUUUCCCGGUGUCCUUUAGCGCUGUGACUGCUCUUUUCACACACACCGAGUGUCUUGUCCAUGUCUGCAGUGCGUGAUGCGGGACAAAUAUACGUAGAGCCGUGAAAACACACCCUUUGGGGAGAUUUUGAAUGAUGAGUGGAGGGGAGGAGCCUCUUUCUUGGACUGCAGCGGCAUCCAGUGGAGAGGAGGGUCGCUGCGGGUCUUGCGGUCUGGGUUGCCAAGUAAGC